UACGUAGGGGGCAAGCGUUGUCCGGAUUUAUUGGGCGUAAAGAGCGUGUAGGCGGCCUGACAAGUCUGCUGUGAAAACUCGAGGCUCAACCUCGAGAUGUCGGCGGAAACUGUCUGGCUAGAGUCCGGAAGAGGAGAGUGGAAUUCCUGGUGUAGCGGUGAAAUGCGCAGAUAUCAGGAAGAACACCUAUGGCGAAGGCAGCUCUCUGGGACGGUACUGACGCUGAGACGCGAAGGCGUGGGGAGCGAACAGG
RNAcentral lists this ribosomal RNA (253 nucleotides) under uncultured bacterium. RNAcentral describes it as "partial 16S ribosomal RNA". It matches the Rfam family "Bacterial small subunit ribosomal RNA", at positions 524 to 776 of the family's 1533-position model. The record is from RNAcentral.